RNAcentral lists this ribosomal RNA (459 nucleotides) under uncultured bacterium. RNAcentral describes it as "partial 16S ribosomal RNA". It matches the Rfam family "Bacterial small subunit ribosomal RNA", at positions 338 to 795 of the family's 1533-position model. The record is from RNAcentral.
CCUACGUGAGGCAGCAGUGAGGAAUAUUGGUCAAUGGGAGAGAUCCUGAACCAGCCAAGCCGCGUGAGGGAAGACGGCCCUAUGGGUUGUAACCUUCUUUUGUCGGAGAACAAAACCCGGGACGUUUCCCGGACUGCGUGUAUCCGAAGAAAAAGCAUCGGUUAACUCCGUGCCAGCAGCCGCGGUCAUACGGAGGAUGCGACCGUUAUCCGGAUUGAUGGGGUUUAAAGGGUGCGUAGGCGGUCCGUUACGUCAGCGGUAAACUUGCGGGGCUCAACCCCGUCGAGCCGGUGACACUGGCAGACUUGAGUGGGCGAGAGGUACGCGGAAUGCGGGGUGUAGCGGUGAAAUGCAUAGAUAUCGCGCAGAACUCCGAUUGCGAAGGCAGCGUACCGGCGCCAGACUGACGCUGAGGCACGAAAGCGUGGGGAUCGAACAGGAUUAGAUACCCUAGUAGUC